CUUUAUCGGUCUUACUAAUAAAAAAUCACUAUACAUGCGUUAUGACAAGGUGAUAGUAAUUCAGUGAAUAGAGCUUGUACAGGGCAUAAACUCCUCUUUGACCAAUAAUCGAUGUGUAUUGGUUGAAUAACAAAACGACCCUUAUUUAUUGUUACCCUGGCAACCCGCCGUGUUUGAUUGACGUUUGAUUUAAUAAUUCUGAUACAACUCAUAAUUCUAAUGUAAGUUGUAUUUAUUUUAUCAACCAAAGCAAUUAUAUACACAUUUACUCAAUAUACUAAUAACAUUUUAUUAUUUGCAGCUAAUAGAAACUCCAAAACCUCAGACAAAGAGGACUAGAAUUUUACAUAAAAAGCCGCGUUCUGCAGUACAAAAGUUAGAAGAGGCAUCUCAAAUAGUGGAAAGUGCCAAACUCCGCAACACGGUAGUGUUCCAGUGUUUCCAGGAAGAGCACGAAA
Molecule: long non-coding RNA, 458 nt
Organism: Pieris napi
Lineage: Eukaryota; Metazoa; Arthropoda; Insecta; Lepidoptera; Pieridae
Exons: 2
Source: RefSeq, a predicted model, not a curated record